GGACUACCCGGGUAUCUAAUCCUGUUUGCUACCCACGCUUUCGCGCAUCAGCGUCAGAACCGGUCCAGGUAGCCGCCUUCGCCACUGGUGUUCCUCCCAAUAUCUACGCAUUUCACCGCUACACUGGGAAUUCCGCUACCCCCUCCCGGCCUCAAGCCAUCCAGUUUCAAAGGCAGUUCCUCAGUUGAGCCGAGGGAUUUCACCUUUGACUUCGAUAGCCGCCUACGCGCCCUUUACGCCCAAUAAUUCCGAAUAACGCUCGCCCCCUCCGUAUUACCGCGGCGGCUGGCAC
This 292-nucleotide ribosomal RNA is filed under the name uncultured Acidobacteriota bacterium. RNAcentral's name for it is "uncultured Acidobacteria bacterium partial 16S ribosomal RNA". The record is from RNAcentral. Lineage: Bacteria; Pseudomonadati; Acidobacteriota.